RNAcentral lists this ribosomal RNA (497 nucleotides) under uncultured bacterium. RNAcentral describes it as "partial 16S ribosomal RNA". It matches the Rfam family "Bacterial small subunit ribosomal RNA", at positions 28 to 523 of the family's 1533-position model. The record is from RNAcentral.
GACGAACGCUGGCGGCGUGCUUAACACAUGCAAGUCGAACGAAGCAUUUAGAACAGAUUACUUCGGUUUGAAGUUCUUUAUGACUGAGUGGCGGACGGGUGAGUAACGCGUGGGUAACCUGCCUUGUACUGGGGGAUAGCAGCUGGAAACGGCUGGUAAUACCGCAUAAGCGCACAAUGUUGCAUGACAUGGUGUGAAAAACUCCGGUGGUAUAAGAUGGACCCGCGUCUGAUUAGCUAGUUGGUGAGAUAACAGCCCACCAAGGCGACGAUCAGUAGUCGACCUGAGAGGGUGAUCGGCCACAUUGGGACUGAGACACGGCCCAGACUCCUACGGGAGGCAGCAGUGGGGAAUAUUGCACAAUGGAGGAAACUUUGAUGCAGCGACGCCGCGUGAGUGAAGAAGUAAUUCGUUAUGUAAAGCUCUAUCAGCAGGGAAGAUAGUGACGGUACCUGACUAAGAAGCUCCGGCUAAAUACGUGCCAGCAGCCGCCGCCG